GCCUUUGAGGUCAGCAGAAGCAUGAAGCAGCAUGCCUCUGACUGCUCGAUUUGGUCUUCAGCUGCAGUUUUUUUCUUCCCUAAAAUUGCUUUGACAUGUUUUUUUCUCCUUCAAGAGGAAAUGAUUCAGAGCAGAGUAUUAGCAAAUAAUAUAAGAAAGAACUGAAUGUGUGUGGUUUUUACUGGAAAUUGGUUCAUCUCGAAGUGACACAGUGACCCUUAAACUUCAUUAUAAAUGAAAAGAAAGAUUUUUUUUUCCACUGGCUCAGAGAUUUAAAGAAGGCCAGAAUGUUGCAGGUUUAGUAAUUGGGGGUAUUUAAUGACACAUACAGUAGCUGAACCUCCUCAAAUCUCCCCGGAGACACGCCCUGGUGUUAACAGUGGCUGAAACAGGUAGGCAUAGCUGCUGUGCUAUCAGGCUAGACAGUGAGCUCAUGGGACUUCCCCACCAUGCUGGUCCUGUUCUACUUACAGAGAGUCUGUCUGCAGAGGAGGCCGCCGAAAGCCUCGUCCCUUUCUUCACAUAUGAGUUGAUCACAGAGGAUUAGUGCAGACAAAGUGGCAGGGAGCCACCGCUGAGUGUGCUUGGGUUUAAGCAUGCCCCGGCUCAGUUCUGUCUCAUCAAAAGAGUUUACUUAAAAUAUACGGGUAUUAUCUCUGCCCUCUGUGUGGGCGUGUGCGCAUUCAGAUAGGCCCUAAGUACUGUUAUACAAUUGAGUUGUAUGAUGAUGAUUGAUACUUUGAAUGAUACGGGCUCAUCAGAAAGGCUUAAAACUUUGGGAUCUUAACAGGACAAUGUCUCCCUCUGUCUCAUUUGAUGAGUCCACUUGAUUGCAUGUGUACACACUCACACACGCUAGGUACAGUAGGUGUACAAGCCUGCAUCCCCUCCAGCGCCCGCAUGAUCCCUCACGCAGCUAACAAGAUCUGUACGGUGCCUGCCACCAUGUGUCGACAUAAAGACUCAGGUGAUGUGAAAACCUGAGAAAAACAAGCUGCACAACUUAAGAGGUAACACCAGUCGUGAGUAGUUUCAAGUCUGAACAUUUUCAGCAGCCUGAUGUCACAUUUACUGGUAUGCUUGGUACCAUUUUUCUUCACUAUUGGCUGAUACCAAAUCCCUGAUACGAGCAUGAACGUUGCGAGCACCACGUUGUUGUUUGAAAGCAGUUGUUGCAAGAAAAUCAACCUGAAAUUAACUAACUUUUGGAGAUAACUGAUUGCAAAAUUCGAUCACUGCCUUAGCGGGUAAUAUCUGAUUCCCAGAAACAAACUCAACAAGUACAACACAUCUUUAAAUGACUCUUGUGCCUGUUAGGUCAUUUUAUCCAUCAUGCUUCAAAAGCAGUCUCUGUCAAGCAGGAAUAAGUCUUAAGUUAGUCAGAGCCCCCUGAUGUGACGUCUCCAUUUAUGCCGCCUUGAUAACUGUAUUUCCUUUUCCUCUCACCCUCUCUUGCUCUCUAUUUGUGCCAGUUACUGAGGCUGUGGUCAGGAAGCAUUCCUGGGGCAAGCCCGCAGCAUUCGCCGGGAUGCCUGCACUGAAGUGUGGAACUCAGCAAGCCGCUCCGCUCCCCUGUGGUGCCGCCAUGGUGAGUACCAAGAGACCCCGCUGGGCCUGCGGUGGUGUCAGUAACCUCGCAUGUGAAGCUCCUGCAGAGAGGAAGAGGAAGGGAAGAAAGAGGGGAAACUUCUGAGCUGUGAGGCUUGGCAUUUUCACACAUAAAUCUCGCAGACAAUUGGAGAGAAAUAAAUGUCAAAAUGGAAGAGAGUAAAUGAGGAGUGGAGGUGACGUGAUGCUGUGUAUGGCCAUCUGGAAAAGAACAUUAGGCUCUCUGCAGGGUGUCUAACUCCUUCACUCAUUAGCAUGCGGUAUAGGACAGUGCUGGUCUCACAACAUGCAUCCAUCUUGUAGCUAUCUUACGGCAACAGCUGUUCGGUCAUUGUUUGAGUUCAGAUUUCAGAGUCGAAGUAGAAAGUAGGUGGAACAAUCGAUGACUUUGUAUUUUCCCAUCUAGAGACUGGAAAAAUCUGGAUUUUUUUUUUAACUACUUCUGAGAUGUUGUAUAUUAGAACUGGACGUAGCAUCUCAUUUUCAAAAUAGAGCAAAAACACCUUUAAACCUACACGGCAUGAAACGGCUGAAAGAGGGAGACUCCACUGAUAGCUAUCAACAGGUCAGACUGUGUACUGCAGCACAACAAGAUAUGAACUGAUACCAUAUGUCACACAACUGUAUGAUGUUAUGUGAUACUGAUAUGAUAUGAUAAGUUGUUGCCCCUGAACUCAUUGACAUGUCUUCUUAGCAAAAUGCAAAAAUAAGAAAAUUGGAUCAAACAAGAAUGAAGAUGUUAACAGAGAAGAUGAAGGGAAGUGCCUACCAAUCAAAAUUACAUAAUACCCUUAUUGUUUUACAUAAUAAACAACAAAACAAGAGGAUAAAAACCAGAUGAAAAAUUACCCUUCUUCCCAGCUGAUUAAUUAUCUCAGUAAACAUUCUCCUAAUGAGUUUAUGGUUGUAAUUGCUCGAGUCAAGUGUUCUUCUGUACAGCAUGAUGCUGAAGUGAUAAGCCCAAUUUAAAGUGCCGCAUUAGUAACGAUAGCACAGGGUGGCUACCUGUGAUUGACAAGUCACUUCCACAGCUGCUUUUCCAUAAGGAUAGCGAAACAGAAUGUAUCCAAUCUGUUUUCCAAAUAUGGUCAUUUCCAUUUUCAAAAAAAAAAGGUCAAAAUGGGGACAGCUAAAAUGAUGAAAUUGUGGCUUCAAGGAGGGUUCACAGAUGGGUGAAAUUACAGUGGAUACAUCCUCUUGUAUACAGUUAAUGGGUAAAACUUAAAUAUCCUUUAAUUUGAACCCAAAUGCUGCCAAGUUUUAGUUCUUUAGAGAAAAAAAAAAGAGAAAAAGUUACACCCUGAUAUUGCCUGUAAAUCCAAAAAGCAAACAGUACCACACACACUCUCUGAAGAGCAAGUCCUGGCAGGUUGCGGUCAGCCUCUCUGCAGUGAAACUCAUGAACCCACUGAGAAAAAAAAAAGAAAGUCCUGUCUUUGAAAAGCCGUUUCAUACGGCUUCAUUUGACUUAUUAUCGAUGAUUGAUCCUCACUGCUCUGCUGACACUUUCCACACUCUCCCACUCCUCCUUAGCAAGUGUGUAACUCAAGUCCUUUUCAUGACCAGUGUCAUAAAUUAAACAUGGCCUCGGCUUCCCUUGUGUGUCUGAGGGUAUAAAAAUAGCUCGGUUUGGUGCUCAGUGUGACGCCCGUGCACAGCCUCUCUGUCUUUAAUGAAGUGUUUCCAUGAAAAGUGUACCGAUCUUGUACUUUGGGCUCUGUGGUAACCCAUGUUCUGACUUUCUCAAACUCCCCAAGUGACUCUGAGCUCAUUUGGUUACACAAGUGCUCACAAUUACCAGGAGAUUUGGACACAGGGACGUGGGAUAUUUCCAUAUCCCUGACGGAUGUUAUUUUAAUUACACAGCACUGCUUGACUUUGUGCUAUGGAUUUACAUGGGGUUUUUUUUGUCUUCUGUGGAUGCAAAGAGGGAUUUUGGGAAGGUUAUUCUGUUUUACUGAAUCUCUUAUUUACUGAGGCCUCCUAGUCUCUGGAAAAACACAGAGAAGCCAUAUUGAAUCACAGUGUUUAAUCUUUAAAUCUAAGGUAGUUAGAUUCAGUAACAAAAUCAUGUUGUAAAAGCAGUGACUGAAUCCUGAUGAGAUAAAGAUGACAAAGUUAUCCUCUCCUCCCUUUCUGGCUUUAGCGUCGACUCUAUUUUCGGCUUGUAUGCGUGAAACAUUCUCUGCAACGUCUGAAGAAACUUGUUAUCUCCAAUCAGCCUUGUUGUGAGGUCCUAAUUAUGUUUGAUUAAGAUAAAAGAAAUCACACAUGGGAGCGGGUAUGAUAAUUAUAGUGUAGAAUCUUCCUUGUACGUUGAAACACAAACAUAAAUGCAUCAACACAGCUGAUUAAUUUGGCUGAUAGUGCCCGAGGAGGCGGCAGGUGUUUGGGCAUACUGAUGCUUUUCCUCUGCAGGACGCUCCCUGAAAACAAAUGUUUCAUGUGUCAUCGGCGGUGAAAUGUGGCACAGAAGCAUGGCGGGUUGCGAGAGAGGUCUGCUUUGAUUCAUGUAAGUCCUCCAGCCCAUUCCUCUUCAGGUCUUGGGGGUAAUGGCGUGCAAAUGGUGCCUCAUGAUCUGCAGUCGGCUGAUCGUGGGGGUUUAACGGCUUGCUGUUUAAAGCUUCAAAACUUUUUAACAUCUUCAUUUUGUCGAGGACGAUUUCCCCGUAUUUUUACACGUACUAUUAGAUCUAUAUAACACUGAUUCCUCACUACAGGCGAGGUUUAGCCAUUCAAAGCCAGGAGCAGAAAUCAAUGAGCCAAAGUGGCAGUUGAGCUGAAUCUCCUGCAGGGAAAAACCCAAUAAUCAAUACAGGCGAGCAAAUAAUGUGCUGUUGGUUAUAGUUUUGGAGCCGCAUGACACGAAAUAUAAUUUGUUUUUCAGGUUUUAUGUUUUUGCUUUGUGAUGAUUAUGACAAAGCUUUAAUCAGCGUUCCUGUAAACAAUUACUUUGUGUUAGUUAUCGUAUACCAGGAGUUGAUUCAUUGCGCACAAUAUUUAAAACAGCUGGAGCUUAUCCAGUCAACAUAAUAUCUAAAUAUCAACAGAGCUAUAAUUUCUUUCACGUGUGUUUUCAUAUAGUUAUACAUUCACUUCGAUUUUAGCUCUUUGAAUGUGGGUCUAAUUCAGGGAGAUGUAAUUGCUUUGAGCCCUCAGUUGACCUCAGAAAAGGAUGGGAGGCAGGAAAAUGAGUGGAAGCUUGGACAAGGGUUGGUUUUAUUUCCAUUUUUUAAUCAUUUUUAUUAUAAUUAAGUACUUAAUUUUGU
Molecule: non-coding RNA, 4877 nt
Organism: Xyrichtys novacula (pearly razorfish)
Lineage: Eukaryota; Metazoa; Chordata; Actinopteri; Labriformes; Labridae
Source: the annotation of a GenBank genome assembly